UAAUUAGGCUUGGUUUAAUAGAAAAAUUUCUAUAAAUUUUUUAUGAUUUUGAUAAAAAACUUUUAACAGAAAAUAGAUUUUAUUUAAUAAUGAAAAAUUAUUGAAAUUUAUAGCUAAAUUUAGCUAAUU
RNAcentral lists this ribosomal RNA (129 nucleotides) under Amblyomma cajennense (Cayenne tick). RNAcentral's name for it is "partial 12S ribosomal RNA". Lineage: Eukaryota; Metazoa; Arthropoda; Arachnida; Ixodida; Ixodidae. The record is from RNAcentral.